AAUUCCCUUGUAGAUAACCUGG
RNAcentral lists this microRNA (22 nucleotides) under Pongo pygmaeus (Bornean orangutan). RNAcentral describes it as "ppy-miR-3938". The record is from miRBase by way of RNAcentral. Lineage: Eukaryota; Metazoa; Chordata; Mammalia; Primates; Hominidae.